RNAcentral lists this unclassified non-coding RNA (676 nucleotides) under Hevea brasiliensis (rubber tree). The record is from RNAcentral. Lineage: Eukaryota; Viridiplantae; Streptophyta; Magnoliopsida; Malpighiales; Euphorbiaceae.
CAAGGUCUUGUCCAAAUUUGGAGGGUGUGCUUAAAAUUCUCAGGGUUUAGGAGAAGCUAGAGAUUGAGUUCUUAGUUUCGAUUCUUAUAAUGGGUGUUUCUGCGCAUCCUCUCCUUGUUUCUUUGAAGGGUGUGGUCCAAGACAGUGAAGAAAUGCACCCAAUCUUGGAAUCCCAAACCAGGAGAAGGUGGCAAGUAAUGAUGAGGAAACAAAGAGUUUCUAGGAAAAAGAGAUCGAGAAAGGUGUCAAUCAACAGCGGGACACGUCAAGAGAGAUCUAGAUCAAAAGCCGCAAAUGGUAUCCGUGGAAGAGUUAGGACCCUGAAGAAGCUAAUCCCUAACAGCGAAUCUGCGGGACUGGAAGGGCUUUUCAGAGAGACGGCUGAUUAUAUUUUGUCUUUACAAAUGAGAGUUAAAGUCAUGCAGAUAAUGGUUAAGGUAUUAACAGGUUCCGAUGAGUGAACCAAUUCGUUUGUAAAGCCUAUAAUUCUCUUAUUCCUUAUUUUCUUUCUUUUAAAAAAUGUCUUCUUUAUUUGUUAUUUGUGUUAUUCACAGCCAUAUAGGAGCUUGUUUUGUACGUCCAGAUAUGUGUUCACGAUUGUGUAGAUUUAACUACAGCUUUAUCAUUUAUUUUGUGGACAAAUGAAUUCUUCAAUUCACUAUUAUUUAAUUUCCGC